AGCGGAGUGGGGCAGCUAGGUCAGCCCGCUGGGCUCAUAACCCAGAGGUCGCGUGUUCGAAUCACGUCUCCGCCAC
RNAcentral lists this transfer RNA (76 nucleotides) under Mycobacteroides abscessus subsp. abscessus. RNAcentral's name for it is "tRNA-Met(cat)". It matches the Rfam family "tRNA". From Rfam's summary of the family: Transfer RNA (tRNA) molecules are approximately 80 nucleotides in length. Their secondary structure includes four short double-helical elements and three loops (D, anti-codon, and T loops). The record is from RNAcentral. Lineage: Bacteria; Bacillati; Actinomycetota; Actinomycetes; Mycobacteriales; Mycobacteriaceae.